Long non-coding RNA from Diachasma alloeum, 2951 nucleotides. RefSeq lists it as uncharacterized. The record is from RefSeq and is a predicted model, not a curated record. The transcript is spliced from 2 exons. NCBI's taxonomy places the organism in Eukaryota, Metazoa, Arthropoda, Insecta, Hymenoptera, Braconidae.
ACAACUGAAAUCACAGUGGUGGGGGAGGGAUUUAACUUUAACCAAGAGUUAACCAUAGUUAGUUUAACCAAAAAACUGGCCCUAGAUGUUAGUGACGCAGAUAGGUACUUUUUCACCCGACCACCUGAAUUUUAUCGUAGACACCAAGAGUUCCCGUCUGUAGCCCCCAGUGGUUCACAAACGAAACACUCAGCUAGUGAGUAGUAAUUGGGGAAUUGUAAUGACAAUAAAUUGUUUUUAUGUAUCGUUUAUUCAACGUAAAGUUAGAUACUACAACUUUGGUAUAAAAACAAAACUGUGGCACUGAACAUAGAUAGCCGAUUGAUUGCAGUCCCAAAAUUAAGAAAAUUCAGUAUAUCCAGGAUCUACGAAUUCAAUGAUAAUCGAAAAUUGUCAACUACAUUGAAAGGGGAUUUGGAACAAGAAUUUAUUCAAACAAUCCUUGCCCGCGAUUGAUAGUGUAACGAAUAAAAUACGGACAACUUAAAGUGCAUACAUUAAUCGCACGUAUAAAAAAAUGAUGCUUUUACACUAAGAAGCAGAAGCACUUUCAAAAUUGGCAGAUCAUGAAACGUUGAUAUCCAUUGAAUGCGCUUAACAUACUUCACAUAAUUUUCAUCGAAUGGAUCCUUGAAUGUGUCGGGUGCAAUUUGAAGUAGGUAUGUGUAUAAUAUAAUUACGUUUCAUUUUCCACUUUUCAAUCAUUUAAUCUUAAAUAAUUAGGAAUCGAAAGGGGGGCUGGGGAGUGAAUGAUGGUUUUUGAACAUAACACAUAUGAAUGAGUGAAAAGUUUUCCACACAUUACGAAAUUAAGUCGUAAUAUCUAUUACAAUUGUACUCUUAUUCUAAUUCUUGUUUACUUCUGUUUAGUAUAACAGUUGUAGUAUUAUUGGCAUUAAUAUUAUUUAUUAUUAUUAAUAGGAGAGCGAACAGCUAUAUCUUGGGUUGCACGAUUUUUGCUUAACACAUACACGAGACACGAACAAACUUGCUCAGCAUUUUUUGUAAAUCACAUUGAUUAGAAAAGAAUACGAUGGAACCGAAGCCGGAGAAGGAGGAAUUGUUUAGUAAUUCAUUUUGAUCAAUCGAUUUUCUAAAAAAUAAUUCUAAUGAUUGGCUAUUUAUCACUCAAGUCUCAAAUGGCCAAUAUCGAAAUUUUCCAAACGUCAUUCAUAUGUUAUAAUGAAUGAAAAUCUAGUCAUCAUUCCUCAUUCCCCUAAACUCGGAGUGCGGCAAUUUUGCAUGAAUUACCGUCCGACUCAUUUGUAAAAACGGCGAUGAAAUAAAUGCGACCCAAAUAUCUACGUUAAAUAUGCUAAAACGAGUAUCAAGUGUUUUGUUGUCAAGAUAAAUACGAAUUUGGAGAAUUACUACUGCAAUUUGCAUUUAUCACUCAAUUAAUGUUUGAUCAUGUGAAUGAUGAAUCCCGUUUCGAUAUUGUAGUUCUCCUUUUCGUUAUUUACCUUCUUACCAUUGAGUCCUAUUCUACAUAUGUUCAACCAUGAAUAAUAUCAAUGUAUAUCAGACUCCAAUGGCUUGAGUCUGUUAAAAACUAGUUACAUCAUCGUCGCAUUUAUUAUAAUCAAUCAAUUGUUAUUUAUAUAUUAUAAUAUAUUUAUAUUUUAUGUAUAAUUGUGAAAUGGUGCAAGGAAUAAUGGAUUAAAUAUUGGGUGAGGAGAGGCGUCGGAUCCAUCCGGCGGACAAAAUGGUUCUCAAUUUUCCUCCCAAUUCAGAUGUCUUUAAAUUUUCUUACACCUCUGAUUCUCAUACAAACCAACUUGUAUGACGUUCCAACGUGACGGAAGAACAUGUGUGCGAACGGACGACAAUAACGACAACUUUUUGGCAGAUGCACAACCUUCGUUACGAAAUAAUAGGAAAAUUCAAAUGAAUAUCUCAUUUAUCGUUGAGUUUUGCCUACAAGAGAGCGGCAGUGUGGCACAACCAUGGUCAUAAGGAGCAACCAAUUCGUUUUGUUAUCUCUACAUAGUUCCGAAAUCCUUUAGACCUAAAAUACAUGUUACUCAUUUCCUUAAGCGCAAUCCCUAGUUAACGAUGAUGAUCUUUCCAUUUCUUGGUUUGUUUUGUUGGAUCUUCCAUUCAUAGUCGUCAUCAGGAUAAUGAAAAUAAAAUUCAAGAUUGCGCAUUAUGAGAUAUAAAAAAAAUUAUCACACGAAUAACCAAUGUAUGUGUAUAGUAUAAAUAUACAUAAAUUCUUAAUCAAAACCUAUCUAUCAAAGAUGGUAAAAGGUAGACUAAUGUCAAUCGUUGUAAGGGAGGAAUAAAAAUUUGUUUUAUCAUUGAUUACGCGUGAUGUUAAUGAUGAUUAUAACGUAUAUCAAUCUCGACGUUGCAGUCGAUGACGGGAGUUGAUUGUUUAGUUGAUGCAAUUUGGGAGAUAUUAAUUUUCGAGACGAAUAAUAAUGGUUUAUCAACGAUUUUACAGAUUACACUGCCACAGUAUCGUAGGGUGUGAGGAGUCCCCCGUGACUCCCGUGGGAGGAACCUGCUUGCCUGCCGGUGACUUCGUUUCUGUAAAAUGAAUUCAAUAUAGUUAACAUAUACUUCAUGAGAAAUCAGUUUAAGGUUUUAUGGAAGAUUGGUUUUUCCAUGGAAUUGAAAACCUGGAUCUUCACAGAAGAACAGCAGCACCGGCACCAGGGACUAUGGUUAAUGAGUACAAACUACUUAAGUGAAUUAGUGAUUUGUUAAUUUUCUGCCAAUUAGUCACAGACAUACAGAUGAUUUAUGAAAUGAUCCUGGAAAUCUGUACACAUGCAUUUCUCUGGACAAAUUUGAUUGCUGUUCUUAAGCAUUGUAAACGGAACGUUUUUCCAUUGUCCAAUUUUGUGUCGAAAUAACCGUUGAAACAUUAUAAAACGAGACGAUUUAUGUGUUGGUGAUUCCUUUUAUACAUUUGAGCAAAAAGCUAUUAAAACACUGGAAAGUAA